GGGUGCGAUCAUACCAGCACUAAUGCACCGGAUCCCAUCAGAACUCCGCAAUUAAGUGUGUUUGAGCGAGAGUAGUACUAGGAUGGAUGACCUCCUGGGAAGUCCUCGUAUUGCACCCC
This 119-nucleotide ribosomal RNA is filed under the name Macleaya cordata. The record is from RNAcentral. Lineage: Eukaryota; Viridiplantae; Streptophyta; Magnoliopsida; Ranunculales; Papaveraceae.